CUUUUGUUAGUUCUAAAAAUACUAGUGAAUAAGGGGUGGGCAAGUUCUGGUGUCAGCCGCCGCGGUAAAACCAGCACCUCAAGUGGUCAGGAGGAUUAUUGGGCCUAAAGCAUCCGUAGCCUGUUCUAUAAGUUUGCGGUUAAAUCUAUACGCUCAACGUAUAGGCUGCCGUAAAUACUGUAGAACUAGGGAGUGGGAGAGGUAGACGGUACUCGAUAGGAAGGGGUAAAAUCCUUUGAUCUAUUGAUGACCACCUGUGGCGAAGGCGGUCUACCAGAACACGUUCGACGGUGAGGGAUGAAAGCUGGGGGAGCAAACCGGAUUAGAUACCCGGGCAGUCCCAGCUGUAAACGAUGCAGACUCGAUGAUGCAAUGGCAUAGAGCUAUUGCAGUAUCGCAGGGAAGCCGUUAAGUCUGCCGCCUGGGAAGUACGUACGCAAGUAUGAAACUUAAAGGAA
This 458-nucleotide ribosomal RNA is filed under the name uncultured crenarchaeote. RNAcentral describes it as "bacterial SSU rRNA". It matches the Rfam family "Archaeal small subunit ribosomal RNA", at positions 407 to 864 of the family's 1478-position model. Lineage: Archaea; Thermoproteati; Thermoproteota. The record is from RNAcentral.